CUCAGAUAUACAAUGAACAAAUCGGAGAAUUAAUUGAUCCAACCCAAUGAAACCUAGAGAUAAGGGAUGAUGCCAAAAAUGGAUUUUAUGUUGAGAAUUUGACUGAGGAAUAUGUGACCUGUUAUGAGGACAUAACCCAAAUAUUAAUUAAGGCACGAAGCUGAGCUUGUUGCAGCGGCAAGCCAGCCCUUUCCUGAUGAUGAUGACGAUGCAUUUGACUAAUGCUCAUGGCUUUGGCUUUCUACUAUCAUUUUUCGUGCUCCUUUAGUUAAUAUGAGUUCUAAAAAAAAAAAUUCAGCGCUAUCGAAGGAUUUGUGUAUGAGAGGUGAAUGUAUCACGGAGAAGAGACCAUUUUAGUUAUUCUUUAGCCAUUGUUUCAAGUCUGGUUGUGGUUGUGCUUUGUGGUAGAAUUCUUUAGGCUGCCAUAUGGAUGUUUUGAGUCACUUCAAGUGUUUGCUUCAAGAUUUUAAAUUAUGUAUGGAUUUAAAUUAUUGACGUUGGAUUAGACUUGGACUGUAUGGAAUUUGUAAUAUAUAUAGAAUUGGACGUUGAAGAUUA
Camellia sinensis is the source of this 558-nucleotide non-coding RNA. Lineage: Eukaryota; Viridiplantae; Streptophyta; Magnoliopsida; Ericales; Theaceae. The record is from RefSeq and is a predicted model, not a curated record.